GAGUUUGAUCCUGGCUCAGAUUGAACGCUGGCGGCAUGCCUUACACAUGCAAGUCGAACGGCAGCACGGGAGCUUGCUCCUGGUGGCGAGUGGCGAACGGGUGAGUAAUGCAUCGGAACGUAUCCUGGAGUGGGGGAUAACGUAGCGAAAGUUACGCUAAUACCGCAUAUUCUGUGAGCAGGAAAGCGGGGGACCUUCGGGCCUCGCGCUCUUGGAGCGGCCGAUGUCGGAUUAGCUAGUUGGUGAGGUAAAGGCUCACCAAGGCGACGAUCCGUAGCAGGUCUGAGAGGAUGAUCUGCCACACUGGAACUGAGACACGGUCCAGACUCCUACGGGAGGCAGCAGUGGGAAUUUUGGACAAUGGGGGCAACCCUGAUCCAGCCAUGCCGCGUGAGUGAAG
RNAcentral lists this ribosomal RNA (400 nucleotides) under bacterium enrichment culture clone ALO1_GLFRUDD03F2BMI. Its description in RNAcentral is "bacterial SSU rRNA". It matches the Rfam family "Bacterial small subunit ribosomal RNA", at positions 9 to 410 of the family's 1533-position model. The record is from RNAcentral. RNAcentral also lists the same sequence under 4 other names.